CUCUGGUUCGACGUAAUGUCAAUGGGACCAGGGCGGAAAGAG
This 42-nucleotide non-coding RNA is filed under the name unclassified sequences. The record is from RNAcentral.